Molecule: ribosomal RNA, 1201 nt
Filed under: metagenome
Description: bacterial SSU rRNA
Rfam family: Bacterial small subunit ribosomal RNA
Source: RNAcentral
AGAGGACGAUCAGCCACACUGGAACUGAGACACGGUCCAGACUCCUACGGGAGGCAGCAGUGGGGAAUAUUGCACAAUGGAGGAAACUCUGAUGCAGCAACGCCGCGUGGAGGAUGACGCAUUUCGGUGUGUAAACUCCUUUUAUAUGGGAAGAUAAUGACAGUACCAUAUGAAUAAGCACCAGCUAACUCCGUGCCAGCAGCCGCGGUAAUACGGAGGGUGCAAGCGUUACUCGGAAUCACUGGGCGUAAAGCGCGCGCAGGCGGCCUUUUAAGUUGGAUGUGAAAGCCUACGGCUCAACCGUAGAACUGCAUCCAAAACUAUUGGGCUAGAGUGUGGGAGAGGAAGAUGGAAUUAGUUGUGUAGGGGUAAAAUCCGUAGAGAUAACUAGGAAUACCAAAAGCGAAGGCAAUCUUCUGGAACAUUACUGACGCUGAGGCGCGAAAGCGUGGGGAGCAAACAGGAUUAGAUACCCUGGUAGUCCACGCCCUAAACGAUGAAUGUUAGUCGUCGGGUAGCUAGUCUAUUCGGUGAUGCAGCUAACGCAUUAAACAUUCCGCCUGGGGAGUACGGUCGCAAGAUUAAAACUCAAAGGAAUAGACGGGGACCCGCACAAGUGGUGGAGCAUGUGGUUUAAUUCGAAAAUACGCGAAGAACCUUACCUAGCCUUGACAUAUAUUAGAACACCCUAGAGAUAGAGUGGUGCUUUCGGGAGCUUUUAUACAGGUGCUGCACGGCUGUCGUCAGCUCGUGUCGUGAGAUGUUGGGUUAAGUCCCGCAACGAGCGCAACCCUCGUCACUAGUUACUAACGGUUCGGCCGAGGACUCUAGUGAGACUGCCUUCGUAAGGAGGAGGAAGGUGAGGACGACGUCAAGUCAUCAUGGCCCUUACGGCUAGGGCAACACACGUGCUACAAUGGCCAGGACAAUGAGACGCGAUACCGCGAGGUGGAGCAAAUCUAUAAACCUGGUCUCAGUUCGGAUUGUAGUCUGCAACUCGACUACAUGAAGCUGGAAUCACUAGUAAUCGUAGAUCAGCUAUGCUACGGUGAAUACGUUCCCGGGUCUUGUACUCACCGCCCGUCACACCAUGGGAGUUGAUUUCACCCGAAGCGGGGAAGCUAAACUGGCUACCCUCCACGGUGGAAUCAGCGACUGGGGUGAAGUCGUAACAAGGUAACCGUAGGAGAACCUGCGGUUG